RNAcentral lists this long non-coding RNA (2951 nucleotides) under Eptatretus burgeri (inshore hagfish). RNAcentral's name for it is "lncRNA (ENSEBUG00000017533.1)". Lineage: Eukaryota; Metazoa; Chordata; Myxini; Myxiniformes; Myxinidae. The record is from RNAcentral.
CCCCCCCCCCCCCCCCCCCCCCCCCCCCCCCCGGUCCUAUGGAACACUGUCUGUGCAAUGAACCAAAUUUCAUGACCAGUAGUAGUCUUUGUGACUUUCAAAAAUGCCACUCAAUUCAGGGUAUGCCCCAAUAUAGGGGUGGUAACCACUUACAUGCGCUUAGCCAUAUUAUAACAAAUGCAAAAGAGCAUGCCAACAACAACUCAAGCAAGUUAUUGGCAAAAAUAAAUUGUUCAACAUUACACUUUGACAUAUUUGUGGCCUUCAUUAGCUAUUGCCUGAUAUUCCCGCCAAGACUCGUGCCUGCGGCCCAACCCAUCCUCGUAAAGACAUAACAUGUCACUUUAAGCAUUUGCUAAUUUUUAGCUUUGUUGCAUUUCCUGUUCUUUACAAAUUCAUAGCUGAAUUUGAUUUGAAUGUGCUUUGAAAACUAUCCCCUCUGGUGUUGGCCUUUAGAUUGCUGGGUUAAUAAUUUGCUUCUUAGGAAACCAAUGGGAAGACAAAUUACACCUCGUUUAAUUGCCCAAGCACUUGGCACUGAGGUUUUAGUUGUGCCGAACAAUAUUAGAUUCAACUCCAAUUUAAUUAUCUGCCUAAUUUUUUUUUCCAUGCAUUUGUCUCCACCAGUGGGUCUCAAUACAUCAUCAGAUGAAUCUGCCAGAACAGAAAAUGUUCCUGGUUUAGCAGCACUGGCUGGAGGUGGUCCAGAAUCUGUGGACACCACUGGACCUGCCCCUCCCUUGACCCAUGGACAGGUGCUGCCUUCAGCAUUGGACAGUGCAGUUCUGCCUGAGAGUGUCCAUGGGGAGACUGCAACAGCCAGCACAACCAACACACCCACCAUGGCCUCAUCGUCCCAAACUGGUGUUGUCACAAGUGUUACACUAUCUAUGGUUGCACCAGGACCCUCCACCCAUGUGGUUCCUCAGACUGAGGGAGUUGCGACGGAGACCGGUGUGCGUCAGGAUCCGAAAGACUCUGAGCCUCAGAGUGGGGAUUCUGGAAGUCACACGGACUCUCUCCAAGAUCCAAUGGAUAUAGGAACAGCCCUGCCAGAUGUGAAAAGUGAAUUGAAGGCUAUACCAGAAAAAGAUGAUGUGGAACGCACUGAGGACCCAAGUCCAAAUGAACAGCCGAAGGCACCACCAGUCGAAGAUCCAAACGGCAGCAACAGAGACAAGAAUAAUAAACCAUCUCCCAGUAAGGCAUCUGCCCAAGAUUCAAAGCCAUCUCUCGAACAAUGCAAUGUGAAACAAUCCAAGUCACCCUGCGAGGUUAUCAUCAAAAAGGAGGCACAGAAAGACGCAACGGCUGGCACUGUUUCUGCAGCUGAACCCACUGAAGCUACAAUGGGGAAGGAAGAUCUGAGUGCAGAAAGUGUUCUGCAACCAUCGCAGCAGCUUGAGAGGCCAGCAAAGAAAGAAGCAGAAGAAAAGCCAACCGCGGUGUCGACUGAAGCCAAUGACCAUCUUCCAGCUGCAGAAAUCAGUGAGGCUACUCCGGACUCGAGCAUCAAGGGUGAAGAUUGAUGCACUUCAAAUUAUUUUGCUUUUUAGUUGUAACAUUCAUUGUUUUUGUAUGCAUCAAGAUUUUUCUCAGUCAGUGCCAAGAUGUCUCGUGCAAAUUUUCACAUAGAAAGACUUCUACUCGUUAUUGUAGUCCUGCAUUUCUUCGCCCACCCCCUCUUCCCCACUUCCCCACUUCAUAAUUGUUUGAUAUUGCAAUCCAACAAAUGCUGUCAAUUCUCUAUAUUCGUUUUCAAUAUGCAUUAUUUUGUGGAUCAUCAUAUUGCAAUGCCAGCAAUCUUCCAUUUUACAUCAAAGUCGAACUUCAAACUGCAUGAUUUCCAGCAAAGAUAAUUGGUCCUCUUUCACCAGAGGGGAUUAUAGGUUUGCUCUCCGUCUGUCCGUCCGUCCAACCCACCUGUGAUCUUUCUGACUUUUUUUUCCCCAUACGCUUUUACGUUUUAAACUGAAACUUAGGACACGGCUUUAUUAACCUCCGCCAUCGAAGAUGGAUGGAGGUUACUGUUUUCACCCCUUUCUGUUUGUUUGUUACUUACGAAAUCUAAAGAUUUCGUAAGUAUAUUGAUCAGUUCCGUUUCUGUUUGUUUUUUUGUGUGUUUGUUUGUGUUUGUUUGUUUGUGUGUUUGUUUGUUUGUUUGUUUGUAGGCACGAUAGCUCGAGAACGGAAGAAGCUACCAAUGUCAAAUUACACCACGUGAUUCAGGAGGGUGAUGGCUAGCGCUGAUUAGAUUUUGGUCAAAAUCGGUCAAAGGUCAAGGUCACAGUGAGGUCAAACAUAAUUCCGUAAAUUAAUGUGGAGAAUUGGAGUAUUUUUGCUUCGCUCGACGUUACGAGUUUGUUUUAACCUCGAUUUUAAUAUUGUCUUCGGUUUUUGCGAUCGCUUAGGACGCUUAAAACUCGGUUGUCGAAAUUCUGGUAAAAAUCGGAUGUUUUGGAGACGUUUUAAGAUUGUAUAAAAAAUAUUUCACUCGACGCGUCACGGGUCGUCACGUGGUGCAGCGCGCUCGAGCAGACGCGUCGUUGAGUCACGUGAAGGUUUUGCGUGUGAGCGCUGACGGUGUUUUCGAUAAAGAUGGUGUUUAAAAGUCAUUUUUUUUUAUCCCAAUAAAGGUGAUCGUCAUAUGACUGACUCGCUAAGCCGUCGGAUUAUGGAAAGAUUGUUAGUGGAUGGCCGAAUAUUACCGUUUUGUGACUUUGAUAAAAUAAUAUUAAAUAAUUGCGUGGAGAAAUGGAGAUUUUUGCUUCGGUCGACGUUAGGAUUUUUGAUGGUUUGGUACAGAAUCAUCGUAGAAACUUCUGGUUUGCGUCGCUACCUUCUCUUGAGACAGCUUUUAUUAGACAAGGUCAGAGGUCAAGUUGACGAUUUCGUAAGUACCAGUCUAUGACUGCUUGUUGCGUUUGUCUGUCUGUUUGUUUAUAUGUCAA